UAGUAACGCGUGGGAAUCUGCCCUUAGGAGGGGGAUAACGGCUGGAAACGGCCGCUAAUACCCCAUAUGCCGAGAGGUGAAACGAAUUUCGCCUGAGGAUGAGCCCGCGUCUGAUUAGCUAGUUGGUGGGGUAAGAGCCCACCAAGGCGACGAUCAGUAGCUGGUCUGAGAGGAUGAUCAGCCACACUGGGACUGAGACACGGCCCAGACUCCUACGGGAGGCAGCAGUGGGGAAUUUUCCGCAAUGGGCGAAAGCCUGACGGAGCAACGCCGCGUGAGGGAUGAAGGCCUCUGGGCUGUAAACCUCUUUUCUCAAGGAAGAAGACAUGACGGUACUUGAGGAAUAAGCCACGGCUAAUUCCGUGCCAGCAGCCGCGGUAAUACGGGAGUGGCAAGCGUUAUCCGGAAUUAUUGGGCGUAAAGCGUCCGCAGGCGGCUCUGUAAGUCUGUUGUUAAAGCGUGGAGCUCAACUCCAUUUCAGCAAUGGAAACUACAGGGCUUGAGUGUGGUAGGGGCAGAGGGGAUUCCCGGUGUAGCGGUGAAAUGCGUAGAUAUCGGGAAGAACACCAGUGGCGAAGGCGCUCUGCUGGGCCAUAACUGACGCUCAUGGACGAAAGCCAGGGGAGUGAAAGGGAUUAGAUACCCCUGUAGUCCUGGCCGUAAACGAUGAACACUAGGUGUCGGGGGAAUCGACCCCCUCGGUGUCGUAGCCAACGCGUUAAGUGUUCCGCCUGGGGAGUACGCACGCAAGUGUGAAACUCAAAGGAAUUGACGGGGGCCCGCACAAGCGGUGGAGUAUGUGGUUUAAUUCGAUGCAACGCGAAGAACCUUACCAGGGUUUGACAUCCUGCGAAUCCCUUGGAAACUUGGGAGUGCCUUCGGGAGCGCAGAGACAGGUGGUGCAUGGCUGUCGUCAGCUCGUGUCGUGAGAUGUUGGGUUAAGUCCCGCAACGAGCGCAACCCACGUCUUUAGUUGCCAGCAUUCAGUUGGGCACUCUAGAGAGACCGCCGGUGAUAAACCGGAGGAAGGUGUGGAUGACGUCAAGUCAUCAUGCCCCUUACAUCCUGGGCUACACACGUACUACAAUGCUACGGACAGAGGGCAGCAAGCUCGCGAGAGUUAGCAAAUCCCAUAAACCGUGGCUCAGUUCAGAUCGUAGGCUGCAACUCGCCUACGUGAAGGAGGAAUCGCUAGUAAUCGCAGGUCAGCAUACUGCGGUGAAUACGUUCCCGGGCCUUGUACACACCGCCCGUCACACCAUGGAAGUUGGCCAUGCCCGAAGUCGUUA
This 1289-nucleotide ribosomal RNA is filed under the name metagenome. RNAcentral describes it as "bacterial SSU rRNA". It matches the Rfam family "Bacterial small subunit ribosomal RNA", at positions 108 to 1432 of the family's 1533-position model. The record is from RNAcentral.